This 73-nucleotide transfer RNA is filed under the name Camelus bactrianus (Bactrian camel). It matches the Rfam family "tRNA". Rfam says of the family: Transfer RNA (tRNA) molecules are approximately 80 nucleotides in length. Their secondary structure includes four short double-helical elements and three loops (D, anti-codon, and T loops). Further hydrogen bonds mediate the characteristic L-shaped molecular structure. tRNAs have two regions of fundamental functional importance: the anti-codon, which is responsible for specific mRNA codon recognition, and the 3' end, to which the tRNAs corresponding amino acid is attached (by aminoacyl-tRNA synthetases). tRNAs cope with the degeneracy of the genetic code in two manners: having more than one tRNA (with a specific anti-codon) for a particular amino acid; and 'wobble' base-pairing, i.e. permitting non-standard base-pairing at the 3rd anti-codon position. The record is from Rfam by way of RNAcentral. RNAcentral also lists the same sequence under 2 other names. Lineage: Eukaryota; Metazoa; Chordata; Mammalia; Artiodactyla; Camelidae.
GAGGGUAGAGCUAAGCGGUAGAGUGCUGUGCUUAGCAUGCACGAGGUCCUGGGUUCCAGCCCCAGUGCCUCCA